Pantherophis guttatus is the source of this 755-nucleotide non-coding RNA. The record is from RefSeq and is a predicted model, not a curated record. Lineage: Eukaryota; Metazoa; Chordata; Lepidosauria; Squamata; Colubridae.
GUAGUCAUGGUAAUACAGCAUUAUAUAGUUCAACAUUCCAGACUAAUUUAGAACAGUGGCUGGUGACUAAAAGAGGAGAUGGUUAAAGAAAAAUGAGACCAGUAAAAUUCAGACAACAGUACUGUUGCUAGGUUCUUUCAGCAUUUUAUUGGUGAACACAAACAUGGAUUCUCAACACAAGUAUUAACUUAAGCUUGUUCCUUUGAAUCUUGUUUUUAAAAGUCAAGUUUCAGCUGCAGGACAUAUGAGUCCCUUUCCACGGCAGAGGGAACAUGACCUGGGUAACUUGCUGAGUUGUCCUAGAGUUACAUGGCAUCCUGGGAGCCAGCCUAAGCUAUUAGCCUACUGGAAGAAAUCCAGCAUGUUCCAGGACUGAGGUGUGAAAGCAUCGUUGACAAGAGAUUACACAAACACUUUUACUGUUACACAACAGCCUUUUGGCUGUUUUCCUAACUAGUGAUCAGAAAGUCAGAAUGUCAAUUGUGAAUAGACCAUCAGAGUUUAUAUUUCAUUACAGAACAUGUCAGAGGUUAGAUAGUCCCUAUGGCAUUUUAAAAGUUCUGAAUGUUGUUAUAGUGCACACCAGAAUCAACUUUUUUGCCUUCUUAAACUAUAUCUAUGCAUGUUUAUCUAGAAUAAAAAUUCGAGUCUUGCACAUCUAGAAUGAAUUGAGGAACCAAUUAUCCAGAUUAUUUCUGAAUAAUUCCAUACAAAAUAAAAAGGUACACUCAUACCUUGCCUUGGAAAACAGAGAA